This 611-nucleotide long non-coding RNA is filed under the name Homo sapiens (human). Its description in RNAcentral is "non-protein coding lnc-PKHD1-7:1". Lineage: Eukaryota; Metazoa; Chordata; Mammalia; Primates; Hominidae. The record is from RNAcentral.
AUGUCCAGGCACUAUGCAUCCCCACCUUUCAGCUCCUAGAACAGCAGAAUGGUCUCCAGAGUCACCCUGACACUGUAGAUGACAUGUUCAGCCUGGAUAGCUACCAGGUUUAUUUAGUGUAGCCCUGUCAUCUUGCUGAAGAGCCAAGUAAUCAUCCUUAUAUCACAGUGGGCCAUUGCCUCUACUACCCUGGACCACUGGGAUGCCAACUGUAGUGUCAUGAGUUUCCCACCAGACCUCAUCCAUACAGGGGUAGCCAAUGACCAUGGGGAAGACUUUGAUUUACAGAAAGAACUGAUUGGGCAGGUGAUGAACCAGCUUAGACAGUAACUUGUCAGCCAGUUGCUCCACACAUGCUGCUUUUGUCUCCUCCCCAACAUACCCUACCCAAUGUGGCUAAAGUGCUCUAGGAGGUCAUGCAGGUUGAAAGUCCAAUUUUUUUUUGUCAAUGGUUAGAGAAUUCCUUGAAAGGACUGCCAAAGGAGACAACCAUGGGAGCCCAGCACAGUGACACACAAACAACUUACAGACUUCCACAUGCAAGUAACUGGUGCUGAGGAACGUAAGCAAUUUGCUGGACCUUGCAAGACUUCACCAGGUUCUUUCAACAG